RNAcentral lists this transfer RNA (94 nucleotides) under Metarhizium rileyi. RNAcentral's name for it is "tRNA-Thr". It matches the Rfam family "tRNA". From Rfam's summary of the family: Transfer RNA (tRNA) molecules are approximately 80 nucleotides in length. Their secondary structure includes four short double-helical elements and three loops (D, anti-codon, and T loops). Lineage: Eukaryota; Fungi; Ascomycota; Sordariomycetes; Hypocreales; Clavicipitaceae. The record is from RNAcentral.
GCCCCGUUGGCUCAGUGGUAAAGCGUGUCACUAGUAUUGCUUAUUUCAUACUGUUACCAUGACAAGAUCACUGGUUCGAUUCCAGUACGGGGCA